GGAGCUUGCUCCACCGGAAAAAGAAGAGUGGCGAACGGGUGAGUAACACGUGGGUAACCUGCCCAUCAGAAGGGGAUAACACUUGGAAACAGGUGCUAAUACCGUAUAACAAUCGAAACCGCAUGGUUUUGAUUUGAAAGGCGCUUUCGGGUGUCGCUGAUGGAUGGACCCGCGGUGCAUUAGCUAGUUGGUGAGGUAACGGCUCACCAAGGCCACGAUGCAUAGCCGACCUGAGAGGGUGAUCGGCCACAUUGGGACUGAGACACGGCCCAAACUCCUACGGGAGGCAGCAGUAGGGAAUCUUCGGCAAUGGACGAAAGUCUGACCGAGCAACGCCGCGUGAGUGAAGAAGGUUUUCGGAUCGUAAAACUCUGUUGUUAGAGAAGAACAAGGAUGAGAGUAACUGUUCAUCCCUUGACGGUAUCUAACCAGAAAGCCACGGCUAACUACGUGCCAGCAGCCGCGGUAAUACGUAGGUGGCAAGCGUUGUCCGGAUUUAUUGGGCGUAAAGCGAGCGCAGGCGGUUUCUUAAGUCUGAUGUGAAAGCCCCCGGCUCAACCGGGGAGGGUCAUUGGAAACUGGGAGACUUGAGUGCAGAAGAGGAGAGUGGAAUUCCAUGUGUAGCGGUGAAAUGCGUAGAUAUAUGGAGGAACACCAGUGGCGAAGGCGGCUCUCUGGUCUGUAACUGACGCUGAGGCUCGAAAGCGUGGGGAGCAAACAGGAUUAGAUACCCUGGUAGUCCACGCCGUAAACGAUGAGUGCUAAGUGUUGGAGGGUUUCCGCCCUUCAGUGCUGCAGCUAACGCAUUAAGCACUCCGCCUGGGGAGUACGACCGCAAGGUUGAAACUCAAAGGAAUUGACGGGGGCCCGCACAAGCGGUGGAGCAUGUGGUUUAAUUCGAAGCAACGCGAAGAACCUUACCAGGUCUUGACAUCCUUUGACCACUCUAGAGAUAGAGCUUCCCCUUCGGGGGCAAAGUGACAGGUGGUGCAUGGUUGUCGUCAGCUCGUGUCGUGAGAUGUUGGGUUAAGUCCCGCAACGAGCGCAACCCUUAUUGUUAGUUGCCAUCAUUCAGUUGGGCACUCUAGCAAGACUGCCGGUGACAAACCGGAGGAAGGUGGGGAUGACGUCAAAUCAUCAUGCCCCUUAUGACCUGGGCUACACACGUGCUACAAUGGGAAGUACAACGAG
RNAcentral lists this ribosomal RNA (1191 nucleotides) under Enterococcus durans. Its description in RNAcentral is "bacterial SSU rRNA". It matches the Rfam family "Bacterial small subunit ribosomal RNA", at positions 75 to 1246 of the family's 1533-position model. The record is from RNAcentral. Lineage: Bacteria; Bacillati; Bacillota; Bacilli; Lactobacillales; Enterococcaceae.